Non-coding RNA from Camelina sativa (false flax), 1011 nucleotides. The record is from RefSeq and is a predicted model, not a curated record. Lineage: Eukaryota; Viridiplantae; Streptophyta; Magnoliopsida; Brassicales; Brassicaceae.
UGUCAUUUACAUUUAAAAUUGUCUUUGAUUUUUAAGAGAAAGAACACAAAAACCUUGAAGGAUCGAUUCCUGAUUUUUUUGGGAUUCUCUUAAAUUUGGGUUGGCAAAAAAAUAUGAGAUUGAUUUCUUCUAAUUUGAUUCAUCUUCUUCUACUAAAAUCAUGGCAAAAGAAAAAAAAUUAGCAGAGGGCUCACUGUUCGCUUUCUCUCUCAAGAACAAAGUUGUAGAUCUAGUUUAUAUUUUGCGUGAGUCCAAAACUUGUGGGUUGUUCUCUCCUUCUCUUCAACCUCCUCAGUCGCCGAUCUUCAACAGUGGGUGUGAAACAACAAUAGAGCAAGAUACAAUGGCGAUGAGCUUGAUGAACAGAGCAAUCUCAAGAACCGAAACCGUCGGUAUCCUCAGCGGGCUAAGGAAGAGAAAAGGUUCAGGGGUCUUGCUUUGGCUCAUUUGCAACCUGAAAGAAGAAACAGAUCAUUUUCUUUAGAGGUUUCAUGUUCUGCUGAUAACCUGAAAUUGUUUAAGAAGCUCUCUGGAGAAAGCUACAGAGAGGACGAUGAUGAAGUGGUCGAUCGUUAAGAGAAUCCCCGUCUAUGCUAAAUAUAGUGUCGCUUCUCUCUCAUAGCAAAGAAGAAUAAGAGGCUGGUGAAAGCAAAAUCCGCUCACAACUUGUUCGACCAAAUGCCCCACAGAAGAAAAAAAAUGAGGCAAAGAAAUGAUGGGUUACUCUCUGUCAAGACGACUUAAGUGCAGGCUUGACUGGCGAUGAGGUAUACUAUCUUGAUGAGUAUAUAUCAAACAAGAGACUUAAAAGGCAACCUUCUCAGUCUAAGAAUGGUGUAAAGUUUAGUGGGACGGAAGUAUCCUUGAGUGUUUUUGGGAGUAUGGAUGUUCUUGUGCCCCCGAUACUUGGCUUCUUUCAAAAGUGAACGAUGAGAAAACUCCAUGCUUUACUGCCUCCAAUCUUGAACGGUUAAAGUUUGGUCUUGAGGACUAUGUAUUAAGGCAUGGGAA